This 497-nucleotide ribosomal RNA is filed under the name uncultured bacterium. Its description in RNAcentral is "partial 16S ribosomal RNA". It matches the Rfam family "Bacterial small subunit ribosomal RNA", at positions 28 to 507 of the family's 1533-position model. The record is from RNAcentral.
GAUGAACGCUGGCGGCGUGCCUAAUACAUGCAAGUCGAGCGGACAGACGAGGAGCUUGCGGCUUGGACGUUAGCGGCGGAGGGGUGAGUAACGCGUGGAAAACCUACCUAUAAGACGGGGAUAACUUGGGGAAAGGGGAGCUAAUACGGGAGAAGAUAUUGAACCGCAGGGGGCAAUAGUGAAAGUCGGUGUUGGGGGCAGGAAUAGAGGGAUCCGCGCCGCAUUAGCUAGUUGGUAAGGUAAAGGCUUACCAAGGGAACGAGGCGUAGCCGACCUGGGAGGGUGAUCGGCCACCCUGGACCUGAGCCACGGUCCAGACUCCUACGGGAGGCAGCAGUAGGGAAUCUUCCGCAAUGGGCGAAAGCCUGACGGAGCAACGCCGCGUGAGUGAUGAAGGUCUUCCGAUCGUAAAGCUCUGUUAUUAGGGAAGAACAAAUGUGUAAGUAACUAUGCACGUCUUGACGGUACCUAAUCAGAAAGCCACGGCUAACUACGUG